GGCCUCGUAGUUCAGGUGGUUAGAACGUAGGCUUUACUAAAGCUGUCAUAGGUUCGAAUCCCAUCGAGGUCG
RNAcentral lists this transfer RNA (72 nucleotides) under Schistocephalus solidus. It matches the Rfam family "tRNA". Rfam says of the family: Transfer RNA (tRNA) molecules are approximately 80 nucleotides in length. Their secondary structure includes four short double-helical elements and three loops (D, anti-codon, and T loops). Lineage: Eukaryota; Metazoa; Platyhelminthes; Cestoda; Diphyllobothriidea; Diphyllobothriidae. The record is from Rfam by way of RNAcentral.